Molecule: long non-coding RNA, 1308 nt
Organism: Ailuropoda melanoleuca (giant panda)
Lineage: Eukaryota; Metazoa; Chordata; Mammalia; Carnivora; Ursidae
Exons: 5
Source: RefSeq, a predicted model, not a curated record
AAAGUGAUAGAUGCAUACAGUGGAAUGUUAUUUAGCCUUAAAAAAAGAAGGAAAUCCUGUCACCUGCUAUGACGUGCAUGAACUUUGAAGGCAUCCUGCUGAGUGAAAUGAGCCAGUCACAAAAGGACAAAGGACUGUGUGGUUCCACUUACAUGAGGGGGGAGUGUCCCCUGGUGGCUGCCUGCUGUCCUUCUUGGGGAGAUGCCCUAACCCACACCCCAUCCAACUCCGGGUCUCUUCAGCAAGACGACAGAGAAGGGGUCUUCCUGUGGAGGCCCUUCUUGGAAGUGGUGAAAACUACGUUGAAUUUUCAAGGAGCCGCGGGAAGGAUGGAUGUGAGACAAGAGUGUCGAGAAGCUUCGGAUAUGAGGCAUGAUGUUACGUCUGGAGUUUGAGACCUGGCCUCCUCGCUGGGUGACCUGUGCCACAGGCCAGAGCCAGACCUGCCCUGAACAGCCGGCAUGCGUGGCCUCCUGGCCUACGAGGGAUCCUCUUUCUCCCCACCCCGAAGUCUUGGUCUCACGUGGCUUCGCCUGGCCCUGGCCCUCUGCCCCACUGACAGGAGGCCCCCACACACGACUCUACGAGCAAGUCUGCCUCAGGGCCGGUUUUCCUCAGCCAGGCUGCUGAGACCACACAGAGGAAGGAAGAUGACAGUGACCACAGGCAGAGAUAGGCACUGCACGUGCCGGGCACAGCUGCCAGGCCUCUCGGGCAGAUGGGGUCCCGCGGGGACGCUGUGGGACUCCUGGGGAAGCAGAAGACUUCCAGGAGACAGAGGUUUGGAGGAGCCAUCAAAGGGGUGUCCGAGGAAGACCAGGGACAGUGUCUGUGUGAGGCAGACGUGGAAACGGGCUAGGCCUGUGGCAGGGCCGGGAGCGGCGCCUUGGCUGCAGUGGAAAAUCCCAACCAGAGGCGAGAACUCCAUUCAACAAAUAUUUAUGGCACCUAGUCAAUACAAAGAAGAGGGCCAGGCUGAGUCACUGGGCAUGGCCCUGUGCUGGCACCACGCGUUGCUGUCGGAGGGACCUUCAGGGUCCCUGGAGCAGAAGAGGGGCUGGGAGAGGGUGCAGGAGCCAGGUCGGGGACGAAGGAGCCCCUGGGCCCAAGAGAUACCCCAGCCCCGUGGGGACCCGAGCUCAGCAGCCCCCUGGGCCCCCUCCCCCUGGCAAAGAACUGCAGAGUGACAGACCAGUCGCGACACUGCCCAGGCUAAGCUAGGGUGACCCUGGGGGUCGGGGGGACUGAAUCCGCUACCACAGUUCAGCAUGGGGACAGCAGGCCUGAGGAGAGGCAUCGCCAGGCGCU